Molecule: transfer RNA, 59 nt
Filed under: Idiurus macrotis (long-eared scaly-tailed flying squirrel)
Lineage: Eukaryota; Metazoa; Chordata; Mammalia; Rodentia; Anomaluridae
Description: tRNA-Val
Source: RNAcentral
CAAAGCGUAGCUUAACCAAAAAGCAUCCGGCCUACACCCAGAAGAUUUCACACAUAUGA